UUCCUCAUGGGAUUAACCGCCGCCGGCCUUGCUGUCCCCGCGAGGGCUUCCUCGCCGGCGGAGAGGACCGCCGCCGCGUGCCGUUGGUGGCCUCGGGUGCUACCACGCCACGCGAGGUCUGUGGUCUAGGGCACGGCCGCCACGCCUAUGCGACAGUUCCGCCGGGAGGCGUCGCCGCGGAAACGGCCGAGGCGCGGGUGGCCAUAGGCUUACAUCGCUGCUCUGCCGGAGGUCUCUGCGCCGCAGGACUUGCUGUGUUGCCGCCGCUGCCACCGCGCGCAGACACGCCGGAGAGCGACGCUGUUGCGUCAUCGGCCGACAGUAGUAUGCCGCCACCCGCGCGCCUAGGCGGCCACGCCUCCGAGGAGCCCGGCCGGGAGCCAUGGCCAUAGGCACCACCGUCCUGGGAGCAGCGUCGAGGCCGCGCCGCUGGUCGGUAGCACCGCCCUCGCGGUGAGCGCCUCCGUCUCACGCCGAGAAAGAAGUCCAUGGCUGCACCAUGGGCGUCGCCACUGUUGCGGGCUGGGCACCGCUCUCACGACCUCCAGCCAGAGCCUCUGCGCGAUGGAGACCUGGCCGGGAGGGAUGUGUUGUGCCACAACCAAGAAGAUGUUGCUGUUCUUCUGGCUGUUGCUUGCCUGAAGACAAAUGCCAAAGGCCAAUCAAUCGAGACGAAGUAGUGCCCAUCGUCGGCGCCGCUGCUGGGAGAUCGGGACCGUUUCGCCGGCCGAAGGCGGGCACCGCCGCGCUAUGCCGAGACCCGAGAGUCACGGCCGAUGGCUGGGAGCGCGCGUGUCCCCUUGCGCUGUUCAGCGCCGGGUCCGGGCUCACCACGCCGCCGCUUGGGGCCGGUCUGAAGUUCGGCAGUUCGUCGGGGCUGCCUCCGCCUUGUCCUAUUGCUCUCUGUAAGAGCGUGCUGAUAACGUGUUGAAAACGAGAGACAAUCGAUAGUAAUGAAUCCAGUUAUCCUUUCA
Long non-coding RNA from Triticum urartu, 974 nucleotides. RefSeq lists it as uncharacterized. Lineage: Eukaryota; Viridiplantae; Streptophyta; Magnoliopsida; Poales; Poaceae. The record is from RefSeq and is a predicted model, not a curated record.